CAUCUACUCCCUCCGUUUCAAAUUACUUGUCUUGGAUUUGUCUAGAUAUGAAUAUAUCUACACUCAUUUUAAUGCUAGAUACCUUCGUAUCUAGAAAAAUCUAAGACAAGUAAUUUGGAACGGAGGGAGUAGAUG
Triticum aestivum (bread wheat) is the source of this 135-nucleotide non-coding RNA. The record is from Rfam. NCBI's taxonomy places the organism in Eukaryota, Viridiplantae, Streptophyta, Magnoliopsida, Poales, Poaceae.